AACUUUUCAUAACUUAGUGGCGGACGGGUGAGUAACUUUUGGGUAACCUGCCUUGUACUGGGGGACAACAGUUGGAAACGACUGCUAAUACCGCAUAAGCGCACAGAGUCGCAUGACUCAGUGUGAAAAACUCCGGUGGUACAAGAUGGACCCGCGUCUGAUUAGCUAGUUGGUGAGGUAACGGCCCACCAAGGCGACGAUCAGUAGCCGGCCUGAGAGGGUGAACGGCCACAUUGGGACUGAGACACGGCCCAAACUCCUACGGGAGGCAGCAGUGGGGAAUAUUGCACAAUGGGGGAAACCCUGAUGCAGCGACGCCGCGUGAGUGAAGAAGUAUUUCGGUAUGUAAAGUUCUAUCAGCAGGGAAGAAAAUGACGGUACCCUGACUAAGAAGCCCCCGGCUAACUACGUGCCAGCAGCCGCGGUAAUACGUAGGGGGCAAGCGUUAUCCGGAUUUACUGGGUGUAAAGGGAGCGUAGACGGCAUGGCAAGUCUGAAGUGAAAGCUCGGGGCUCAACCCCGGAACUGCUUUGGAAACUGUCAAGCUAGAGUGUCGGAGAGGUAAGUGGAAUUCCUAGUGUAGCGGUGAAAUGCGUAGAUAUUAGGAGGAACACCAGUGGCGAAGGCGGCUUACUGGACGAUAACUGACGUUGAGGCUCGAAAGCGUGGGGAGCAAACAGGAUUAGAUACCCUGGUAGUCCGCACCGUAAACGAUGAAUGCUCGUCAUUGGCGAUAUACAGUCAGUGACCAAGCGAAAGCAUUAAGCAUUCCACCUGGGGAGUACGCCGGCAACGGUGAAACUCAAAGGAAUUGACGGGGGCCCGCACAAGCGGAGGAACAUGUGGUUUAAUUCGAUGAUACGCGAGGAACCUUACCCGGGCUUGAAUUGCUGGUGACGAACCAAGAGAUUGGUUUUUCUUCGGACACCAGUGAAGGUGCUGCAUGGUUGUCGUCAGCUCGUGCCGUGAGGUGUCGGCUUAAGUGCCAUAACGAGCGCAACCCUUGCUGUCAGUUGCCAUCAGGUAGAGCUGGGCACUCUGGCGGGACUGCCAUCACAAGAUGUGAGGAAGGUGGGGAUGACGUCAAAUCAGCACGGCCCUUACGUCCGGGGCUACACACGUGUUACAAUGGGGGGUACAGAAGGCAGCUUGCCGGCGACGGUUGGCCAAUCCGUAAAUCCCUUCUCAGUUCGGACUGGAGUCUGCAACCCGACUCCACGAAGCUGGAUUCGCUAGUAAUCGCGCAUCAGCCAUGGCGCGGUGAAUACGUUCCCGGGCCU
This 1280-nucleotide ribosomal RNA is filed under the name uncultured bacterium. RNAcentral's name for it is "partial 16S ribosomal RNA". It matches the Rfam family "Bacterial small subunit ribosomal RNA", at positions 78 to 1381 of the family's 1533-position model. The record is from RNAcentral.